This 990-nucleotide ribosomal RNA is filed under the name uncultured euryarchaeote. RNAcentral describes it as "bacterial SSU rRNA". It matches the Rfam family "Archaeal small subunit ribosomal RNA", at positions 459 to 1451 of the family's 1478-position model. The record is from RNAcentral. Lineage: Archaea; Methanobacteriati; Methanobacteriota.
CAGCAGCCGCGGUAAUACCGGCAGCUCGAGUGGUCGUCGCUUUUAUAGGGCCUAAAACGUCCGUAGCCGGUUUGGUAAAUCUGUGGGUAAAUCAACUAGCUUAACUAGUUGAAUUCUGCAGAGACUGCCAGACUAGGAACCGGGAGAGGUGUGGGGUACUCAAGGGGUAGGGGUAAAAUCCUGUCAUCCUUUGAGGACCACCAGUUGCGAAGGCGCCACACUGGAACGGAUUCGACGGUCAGGGACGAAGCCUAGGGGCACGAACCGGAUUAGAUACCCGGGUAGUCCUAGGUGUAAACGCUGUGAACUUGGUGUCGGGAGUCCGCAAUGGGCCCCCGGUGCCGGAGUGAAAGGAUGUUAAGUUCACUGCCUGGGGAGUACGGUCGCAAGGCUGAAACUUAAAGGAAUUGGCGGGGGAGCACUGCAACGCGAGGAGCGUGCGGUUUAAUUGGAUUCAACGCCGGAAAACUCACCAUGGCCGACUGUUAGAUGAAGACCAGCGUAAUGAGCUUGUCGGAUUUUCAGAGAGGUGGUGCAUGGCCGUCGUCAGUUCGUACUGUAAAGCGUUCUGUUAAGUCAGAUAACGAACGAGACCCUCAUCUUUAUUUGGUACCCUUUUCUCCGGAGGAGGCGCACCAUAGAGAGACCGCUGGUGCUAAACCAGAGGAAGGCGAGGGCAACGACAGGUCAGUAUGCCCCGAAUGUCAUGGGCUACACGCGCGGUACAAAGGACGGGACAAUGGGAAGCCAGAUCGAGAGAUCGAGCUAACCCGAAAACCCGUUCAUAGUUCGGAUUGUGGGCUGUAACUCGCCCACAUGAAGCUGGAUUGCGUAGUAAUCGUGUUUCAACAUAGCACGGUGAAUAUGCCCCUGCUCCUUGCACACACCGCCCGUCAAACCAUCUUAGUUGGGGGUGGGUGAGGCUGCGCUUUAUGGCGUAUUCGAGCCUGUCUUUGACAAGGAGGGUUAAGUCGUAACAAGGUAACCGUA